RNAcentral lists this ribosomal RNA (746 nucleotides) under Escherichia coli. RNAcentral's name for it is "partial 23S ribosomal RNA". It matches the Rfam family "Bacterial large subunit ribosomal RNA", at positions 474 to 1220 of the family's 2925-position model. Lineage: Bacteria; Pseudomonadati; Pseudomonadota; Gammaproteobacteria; Enterobacterales; Enterobacteriaceae. The record is from RNAcentral.
UCCUGACUGACCGAUAGUGAACCAGUACCGUGAGGGAAAGGCGAAAAGAACCCCGGCGAGGGGAGUGAAAAAGAACCUGAAACCGUGUACGUACAAGCAGUGGGAGCACGCUUAGGCGUGUGACUGCGUACCUUUUGUAUAAUGGGUCAGCGACUUAUAUUCUGUAGCAAGGUUAACCGAAUAGGGGAGCCGAAGGGAAACCGAGUCUUAACUGGGCGUUAAGUUGCAGGGUAUAGACCCGAAACCCGGUGAUCUAGCCAUGGGCAGGUUGAAGGUUGGGUAACACUAACUGGAGGACCGAACCGACUAAUGUUGAAAAAUUAGCGGAUGACUUGUGGCUGGGGGUGAAAGGCCAAUCAAACCGGGAGAUAGCUGGUUCUCCCCGAAAGCUAUUUAGGUAGCGCCUCGUGAAUUCAUCUCCGGGGGUAGAGCACUGUUUCGGCAAGGGGGUCAUCCCGACUUACCAACCCGAUGCAAACUGCGAAUACCGGAGAAUGUUAUCACGGGAGACACACGGCGGGUGCUAACGUCCGUCGUGAAGAGGGAAACAACCCAGACCGCCAGCUAAGGUCCCAAAGUCAUGGUUAAGUGGGAAACGAUGUGGGAAGGCCCAGACAGCCAGGAUGUUGGCUUAGAAGCAGCCAUCAUUUAAAGAAAGCGUAAUAGCUCACUGGUCGAGUCGGCCUGCGCGGAAGAUGUAACGGGGCUAAACCAUGCACCGAAGCUGCGGCAGCGACGCUUAUGCG